RNAcentral lists this ribosomal RNA (738 nucleotides) under uncultured bacterium. RNAcentral describes it as "bacterial SSU rRNA". It matches the Rfam family "Bacterial small subunit ribosomal RNA", at positions 52 to 791 of the family's 1533-position model. The record is from RNAcentral.
CACAUGCAGUCGAGCGAAGUGCUUAUGAUGAAAUCUUCGGAUAGAUUCAUAAACCACUUAGCGGCGGAUGGGUGAGUAACGCGUGAGGAACCUGCCUAGUACAAGGGGAUAGCCUCGGGAAACCGGGAUUAAUACCCUAUGACACUUUUAGGUCACAUGACUUUUAAGUCAAAGCGUUUAGCGGUAUUAGAUGGUCUCGCGUCCCAUUAGCUAGUUGGUGAGAUAAUGGCUCACCAAGGCAAUGAUGGGUAGCCGGCUUGAGAGAGUGAACGGCCACACUGGAACUGAGACACGGUCCAGACUCCUACGGGAGGCAGCAGUGGGGAAUCUUGCACAAUGGAGGGAACUCUGAUGCAGCGACGUCGCGUGAACGAUGAAGGCUUUCGAGUCGUAAAGUUCUGUCCUAUGGGACGAUAAUGACGGUACCAUAGGAGGAAGCCCCGGCUAACUACGUGCCAGCAGCCGCGGUAAUACGUAGGGGGCGAACGUUGUCCGGAUUUAUUGGGCGUAAAGGGUACGCAGGCGGCCAUAUAAGUCAGAUGUGAAAGGCCAAGGCUUAACCUUGGUUAGCAUUUGAAACUGUGUGGCUUGAGUUAAGGAGAGGAAAGUGGAAUUCCUGGUGUAGCGGUGAAAUGCGUAGAUAUCAGGAGGAAUACCAGUGGCGAAGGCGACUUUCUGGACUUAUACUGACGCUGAGGUACGAAAGCGUGGGGAGCAAACAGGAUUAGAUACCCUGGU